RNAcentral lists this ribosomal RNA (468 nucleotides) under uncultured bacterium. RNAcentral describes it as "partial 16S ribosomal RNA". It matches the Rfam family "Bacterial small subunit ribosomal RNA", at positions 28 to 507 of the family's 1533-position model. The record is from RNAcentral.
GACGAACGCUGGCGGCGUGCUUAACACAUGCAAGUCGAACGGAAAGGCCCUUCUUUUGUGGGGUGCUCGAGUGGCGAACGGGUGAGUAACACGUGAGUAACCUGCCCUUGACUUUGGUAUAACUUCAGGAAACUGGGGCUAAUACCGGAUAGGAUCUCCUGCUUCAUGGUGGGGGUUGGAAAGUUUCGGCGGUUGGGGAUGGACUCGCGGCUUAUCAGCUUGUUGGUGGGGUAGUUGCUUACCAAGGCUUUGACGGGUAGCCGGCCUGAGAGGGUGACCGGCAACAUUGGGAAUGAGAUACGGCCCAGACUCCUACGGGAGGCAGCAGUGGGGAAAAUUGCAAAAUGGGCGGAAGCCUGAUGCAGCAACGCCGCGUGCGGGAUGAAGGCCUUCGGGUUGUAAACCGCUUUCGCCUGUGACGAAGCGUGAGUGACGGUAAUGGGUAAAGAAGCACCGGCUAACUACGUG